AUGUCGUGCGCACCACCGCCGCCAAUCCUCCGCUUGCACCCGCCCUCUUCUAUCUCCCCCUUCUCAUCCCCACGGCGGCCGCACCUUUCCCCACGAACCUGCCCGUGGAGGCUCGCCGCGGCGCGCGAGAUGCCGUGGCCGCAUGUGCUCACGGUGGCGGGCUCCGACUCCAGCGCCGGCGCCGGCAUCCAGGCCGACGUUAAGGCCUGCGCCGCCCUGGGCGCAUACUGCUCCUCCGUCAUCACUGCCGUCACGGCCCAGAACACCGCCGGCGUCCAGGGCGUCCAUCUCGUGCCGGAGGAAUUAAUCCGGGAGCAGCUCCAGUCGGUUCUUUCGGAUAUGUCGGUGGACGUGGUGAAAACAGGAAUGCUCCCUUCGGCUGGAAUAAUUAAAAUUCUGUGUGAGAGUCUCCAGAAGUUUCCAGUCAAAGCUUUAGUGGUGGAUCCAGUUAUGGUGUCUACAAGUGGAGAUAGUCUUUCAGAUCCAUCUACUCUCACUUACUAUAGGGAUGGACUAUUUGCCAUGGCCGAUAUAGUCACCCCAAAUGUGAAAGAAGCAUCAAAAUUACUUGGGGGUGUAUCAUUGCACACAAUCGCCGAUAUGCGUGAUGCAGCAGAAUCCAUUUACAAAUUUGGUCCAAGAUAUGUACUUGUGAAAGGUGGGGACAUGCCAGAUUCGUCAGAAGCUAUUGACGUAUUCUAUGAUGGCAAGGAAUUCGUCGAGUUUCGUGGGCAUCGCAUAAAGACCCGCAACACACACGGAACUGGUUGCACUUUAGCCUCAUCUAUUGCGGCUGAGUUAGCAAAAGGUUCAAGUAUGCUGAAUGCUGUUCAGGUGGCGAAGAACUUUGUUGAAUCGGCUCUUCAUCACAGUAAAGACCUUGUCAUUGGAAAUGGACCUCAAGGCCCUUUUGACCACCUUUUCAGGCUCAAGUGUCCUCCAUACAAUAUUGGAUCGCAGCAAAGGUUCAAUCCAGACAGCCUCUUCCUGUAUGCAGUGACAGACUCUAGGAUGAACAAAAGGUGGGGCCAUUCAAUAGAAGAUGCCGUGAAAGCUGCAAUUGAAGGAGGCGCCACCAUUGUCCAACUGAGAGAAAAGGACAUUGAAUCACGACCGUUCUUGGAGGCUGCCAAGGCUUGCAUGGAGAUUUGCAGGUCGAGCGGAGUGCCGCUGCUGAUCAACGACCGUGUAGACAUUGCCCUAGCGUGCAAUGCUGAUGGUGUCCAUGUUGGUCAAUCAGACAUUUCGGCACGGGAGGUUCGGGAGCUCCUUGGACCGGGUAAAAUCAUCGGUGUCUCAUGCAAGACCCCUGCACAAGCCGAGCAGGCUUGGAGGGACGGGGCGGACUACCUCGGCUGCGGCGGCGUCUUCCCAACCACGACGAAGGCGAACAAUCCCACCUUGGGAUUUGAAGGGCUGAAGGCUGUUUGCUUGGCUUCAAAGUUGCCCGUGGUCGCCAUUGGUGGCAUCAACGCGACAAAUGCAGGUUCGGUGAUGGAACUUGACUUCCCCAAUCUCAAAGGUGUCGCCGUGGUCUCUGCUUUGUUCGAUCGCGAAUGCGUCUCGUCUGAGACGAGAAACCUCAGAUCCAUCUUGGCGAGUGUGCGUUGCUUGGCUUAG
RNAcentral lists this ribosomal RNA (1620 nucleotides) under Triticum aestivum (bread wheat). Its description in RNAcentral is "partial small subunit ribosomal RNA". Lineage: Eukaryota; Viridiplantae; Streptophyta; Magnoliopsida; Poales; Poaceae. The record is from RNAcentral.